This is a small nucleolar RNA of Coffea arabica (coffee), 107 nucleotides long. The record is from RefSeq and is a predicted model, not a curated record. NCBI's taxonomy places the organism in Eukaryota, Viridiplantae, Streptophyta, Magnoliopsida, Gentianales, Rubiaceae.
AAGCCAUGAUGUGGAUAUUUAUAUAAAAACUCCCAAAAAUGUUCCUAAGUUUUAUAUAAAGACUCUUCGUCCUGUUGAAAAAAUCUAGUUAUACCCAUACAGAGUUU